UACGAAGGGGGCUAGCGUUGUUCGGAAUCACUGGGCGUAAAGGGCGCGUAGGCGGCCGUUCAAGUCGGGGGUGAAAGCCUGUGGCUCAACCACAGAAUGGCCUUCGAUACUGGACGGCUCGAGACCGGAAGAGGUCAGUGGAACUGCGAGUGUAGAGGUGAAAUUCGUAGAUAUUCGCAAGAACACCAGUGGCGAAGGCGGCUGACUGGUCCGGUUCUGACGCUGAGGAGCGAAAGCGUGGGGAGCGAACAGG
RNAcentral lists this ribosomal RNA (253 nucleotides) under uncultured bacterium. RNAcentral's name for it is "partial 16S ribosomal RNA". It matches the Rfam family "Bacterial small subunit ribosomal RNA", at positions 524 to 776 of the family's 1533-position model. The record is from RNAcentral.